Molecule: long non-coding RNA, 1930 nt
Filed under: Homo sapiens (human)
Lineage: Eukaryota; Metazoa; Chordata; Mammalia; Primates; Hominidae
Description: HSALNT0334600
Source: RNAcentral
UGGAGAGCGUGCCUAGACGCGGGCUCCCGGAGCCGUGUGCGACGGCUCGACGCAGGCUGGCGCGGCGCACGCGCGGUUCGUUGGCCCGCGGUCCCUGUGCCCGGAGCGUGUGUUAUUACCCAGUCUCCCAACUGGUGUCGGUGAUUGAGCUCUGGAAACCUGAAGGAAAGACAGUGGGAGUGCGCCGGCAUGUGACCCAGGGGAGGGGCAUGGCGGGACCCAAGCCGGGAAAGUAGACCCGGGGAGAUGUUUGACUGACCUCAUCCUGAGUAAGCCCAUGGGGUUAUUUAUGAGGCCUGAUUUAAAGUAGUGGCUGCCAGGAAAGUGAAAAAGGAGCUCACCUCAAGCUAUGAGAGGAGCUACAGUCGCAAGAAUGCUGUUUAUGACUAUAUAAAUCACCGUGGAGCGUGUGAUGGGAAAUAUGGAGACUGCGAGUUUAGGAUAGAAACAAGGAAACAAAGUCAAGAAGGAAAAAUGAGUUUUCGCCCUGUCUUUUUUAUCCACUCCCUCCGACCGCGCGCAGUUCCUCCCUCCCCUAGGAUACCGCGAUCCCGGCGGAGAGGAACGGGAGGAGAGCGCGCCCCCCCGCCCCACACCCCACCCCGUCGUGGGUCGGGUCUGCCCGAGUCUUCCCCAAGUUUACACCAGGAUCGUUAGAGAGCCAGGGAAUACAUGUAAAUAAACAGCUUGGAAGAUUUAUGGGAAGGAGUUCAAUUUUAUAGGACUGUAUUUAUAGAGCAAGCGCUGGCUCACUUAUAAAUAGAUUAAUGGGAAGCUCAAAUUAAUGGACUUGUGAGCUGCACGUUUAAUUUCUGAGGCUUCAACAUGACAGACAACCGCCCUCAAAGUCCAAGCGUGGAAGGCAGCUUGCCCUGAGAAGCCGAGAGCGCCCUCAGGAAGGGACACUUCCCACCGGGCCAACAACUCUCAGGUGGCCCCUAACUUCGGCGCCCAGGGUCCCUGGGAAGGGACCCUACGGAACUGUUAUUUGCAAAUGAAGAAAAGGAAUGUGGCUUCAUAAAAAAAUAAUCGGGUCUUCCUUCCAGCACUAUUUUUAAUCAAGCCCUUAACCCGCUAACACGAGCCGGCGGGUGCGUUCUGGGCCACUGUAAGCCGCCCACCGGAUCUGGCGGUCUCAGGGUCCCUGCGCUGGGCCGGUCAACGACCUAGAGGUUCUAGCUACUGCUCUUUCCUUACUCCCUCUACAGCCUGCUAACACUGUAACAAAGGGGCCGGGGAGCUGUGACACGCAGCCCAGGGCUGUCUUAGUCAAGGCUGUCUCCAGCUUCCAACCCCUUUUCUUUCCCUUUUUGGUUAUUCUUGCCAGGUCUUUCCUUCAGUUAUUUUCAGGCUCCUCAAAAUCUUGGGUUUUACUUACUAAAGGUGAUUGUUUCAGACCCUCUUUUUGCCAAGUGGCGGUGGUGGGUAGGAGUAGCCUGGAGCUUACCUGUGGGAUAAUAGAUUGCAGGUCGGUUUAUCAAGGGCUCGUGCUAACCUUGAGCAGGAAAAAUUGCCAUACGAUAUGGAAAUUACCCACCACCUGCUUUGUAUAAUCCCAGUGGUAACCAACUCCCAUCCUCUGUAAAGCAAAUGAAAGGAACACUCAGUGUAACAAUUGAACCAGAGAAUAAGACAUAUCUAUUUUUUUCUAGAUAAAUGUAUGUCCUCAUAAGCACACAUCCCUUGGUUUUCUCUGCUUCCUUGUUUCCUUUUAUUCCCCCCCCCAUUUUUUGUUUUUUGUUUUUUUUUGUUUGUUUGUUUGUUUUGCUUUUCUUUGAUUCCACUAUUUAUAGUUCUAGCCAUGAUCUUCCCGCUUUUAAUUAAUAGGACAGGAAGGGGGAAAUCUCACAUAAAGCAGAUUCCAUUGUUCCUUCUGCCUUUCCCUAUAAGGAAGUCCAAUUGAAAAAGAUUCACGUUUAAAAACAGAAAA